UUACGGCCAUAUCGCGUUGAAACAUCAGUUCCCCUACGAUCACCGAAUUUAAACAUCAUCAAGCCUGGCCAAUACCUAGAUGGGUGACCGCUUGGGAAUACCGGGUGCUGUAAG
Molecule: non-coding RNA, 114 nt
Organism: Acanthosepion pharaonis
Lineage: Eukaryota; Metazoa; Mollusca; Cephalopoda; Sepiida; Sepiidae
Source: the annotation of a GenBank genome assembly